This 352-nucleotide unclassified non-coding RNA is filed under the name soil metagenome. RNAcentral describes it as "partial contains 5.8S ribosomal RNA, internal transcribed spacer 2, and large subunit ribosomal RNA". The stretch from base 1 to 120 matches the Rfam family "5.8S ribosomal RNA", at positions 35 to 154 of the family's 154-position model. The record is from RNAcentral.
GAUGAAGAACGUAGCGAAAUGCGAUAAGUAGUGUGAAUUGCAGAAUUCAGUGAAUCAUCGAAUCUUUGAACGCACAUUGCGCCCGCCAGUAUUCUGGCGGGCAUGCCUGUUCGAGCGUCAUUACAACCCUCAGGCCCCCGGGCCUGGCGUUGGGGAUCGGCGGAAGCCCCCUGCGGGCACAACGCCGUCCCCCAAAUACAGUGGCGGUCCCGCCGCAGCUUCCAUUGCGUAGUAGCUAACACCUCGCAACUGGAGAGCGGCGCGGCCACGCCGUAAAACACCCAACUUCUGAAUGUUGACCUCGAAUCAGGUAGGAAUACCCGCUGAACUUAAGCAUAUCAAUAAGCGGAGA